CCCAGUAGGUUAGUAAACUCUAUGAUCAGGAAUACUUCGUACUCGCGCUUGACGUGCUGGAGAUUGGCAGGGGCGUAGCCUGAAACUCACAUGGUGAUCAGGCCAGACGUGGGGUCCCAUGUGGGGGUGCAUCCCUGGGUUCGGGUAGUCGUAUUCCUAAUCAUUGAUUUUGCUAAUCGAGAGGUUGUUAGAUACGACCUGGACAGUCGUAUAAAGCUGGUGAUCAGGGUACUCUCCUGCAGGAUGUAACUAGAUCCGGAUCACCGCAAUUCUCGGUUAUGAAUGCACUUGAUCACUGUUGAGCAUCGUAGUAUCAAUUCAUGCAAUAUAUAUAUACCUUUGGUUGAUAUUUGAUGUAUGACUUAACAUCUAUGGUUGUUUUUACUUUCUGUUAUCAUUUAGAAUGGUUAGGUAAUAACUUAACCCAAAUAAAAGAUAAAACUAAGGCAUUACUCAUAGUAAGCUUUUCGGCAAAAGUUAUGUUAGCCAAACACACCCAAAAGCUAGCAUGCAUUCCAAAAAAAACUAUUAUAUUGGUUAGUCGGGUAAGACUUGCUGAGUACCCCGUACUCAGGGUUUUCCCCUUGUGGCUAUCUUUCAGAAGCUCCGCAGGAGUCUAUAGAGGAGGAGACCCCGAAG
This 639-nucleotide long non-coding RNA is filed under the name Setaria viridis. RNAcentral's name for it is "long non-coding RNA (SVIR_LNC009339)". Lineage: Eukaryota; Viridiplantae; Streptophyta; Magnoliopsida; Poales; Poaceae. The record is from RNAcentral.